ACACCAUUACUACACACUCAUUACCUUCUUUCUCCUCCAGGCUUUUCAGUGUCUUUGCCAGCUCCUGCAUGACAUCUUGUUGUUUUCUUCCUGCCUCCUCCACGCUGCGAGUGUCAAAAUAAUGAUCCCUGUAACUGUAUAAGUCAUCUACCAGGUCCUGUAACAACAAACACAUUUGAUUCAUAUGUAAAAAAAAAACAAAAACAAGCUAAUAGCAGCUCAUUGAGCAUGCUUUGAAGUUCACAAAGGGUGGAUGCAAUCUAAGUAAAAUGUGCACCAACUAUAUACACAUGUAAUGACAUUGAAUUUGCCAUUUUUAAAUCAAUGUUUGUAUCCACAGUGAUAGAAAUUGAAAGAAACGCUCAGUCUCUGAUGUCAAACUGGGAUUAGCAUGAUAACAACCAAGUGGAAAUGGGAGAGAAAAAAACACACAUGCUUCAUUUCCUUGUUUAUACAGAUAGAAACACACACACACAUAUAUAUAUAGACACACAGUGGGUAAAUUACCUUUAAAAUUUUGAGUUCGUUGUCGUCUUUAGCAGGCUCAGUGCUCUUUUCUUCCUCCGCCAUCUUUUCUAAAACUGAGGUGCUGCAGGCUGCAACAAAGAAGAGGCUACGAACUUGGCACAAUAAUCAAAAACUUUCAAAAGUUACGAGACUAACGUCACGGCAUAUGUUAUUAAGCGUAUGUGACCACAGGAAGCGCUCAUUUCCUUGGAUUGGGAUUUGCACAGACUGAUAAAAGUGAUUUUAAUUUCAGGUAUGCCGGAAGUUAGUUUGGUCCGUAUGCCCAAAUAAUUCCGUCGAGGAACAGAUUCAAAAUUUACUAACGUGAUAUUUAACUUCUCCGCGUGUGUCUUAAGACCCACACAGGUUUAUUAAAAUUCCCAAUAUAUUUGUUUUGUUGUUGUCGAGUUAAUUGACACUGAUAUGGUUUAAAACAUCACAAGUAAUCCGGAACCUUUCUGUCAUGGUGCUACUCGGCCACCAUUUUGUUGUGCACUACAGUUGCCUGUUACGCGCGGUGCUGCUGUACGUUGCCAUACAGUAACACAAUUAUUGAACGUUUUUUUUGCCUAUUUCCUGUGCAAUUAGUAAUGUCGGACACAUGGAGCAACAUCCAGGCGCACAAGAAGCAGCUGGACUCUCUGCGGGAAAGGCUCCAAAGGCGGCGGAAGGACCCAUCACAACUGUCCGCCGAGGUUGGCGGGAGUGCAGAUGGUCCCACAGCCAGGAGCGACAGUCCAGCUCCAUCAGUUCCAUGCACUGCACAGGAGGAGACGGAGAAACCACCUGACCCUGAAUUAGAGAAGAGGAUGUUGGGAUAUUUGUCUGAUCUGAGUCUUUCCCUGCCCAAAGACUCCCUCACAAUCACAAAUGAGCUAAAUAGUUCGGAGACAGCUGUCAGUCACGGAUGUAUCCAGAGUCUCCUUAUGAAGUUUUCCGCUCAGGAACUCAUCGAAGUACGGCAGCCAACUUUAACUUCAUCUUCUGCAGCGUCCUCCUCCACGGUCGUCGUUGCAGUGGACCAUACGAAACUAUGGGCUAUGAUUGGUUCAGGGGGCAGCGCCCAGCGGAGUCAAGGUGUCAAGAGAAAAGCAGAGGAGCAGUCCCAGCAUUCGAGAACCCCGGGUUUCUCGCCGUUGUUGCAGGGCUCUGCGUCUCCUCCGCGCUCUGCCAGCUCCUCCAUGACGCCGGCAUCUUUGCAGCCGCCUGGGCCGUUGGCAUCGGGCAGCUGCGCUGACAAGAAGGGCAGGGGCAGCAAAAGCCAGUCAUCACACGUGGACAUGGAAAUUGAGAGCCUCCUGAACCAGCAAUCCACCAAAGAGCAACAGAGCAAGAAGGUGAGCAGAGAGAUCCUGGAGCUGCUUAAUACCAGCACGGCGAAAGAGCAGUCCAUUGUGGAGAAGUUUCGCUCUCGGGGCCGCGCUCAAGUACAGGAAUUUUGUGACCAUGGCACCAAAGAGGAGUGCGUGCGCUCGGGAGAUACGCCUCAACCGUGCACAAAGCUACACUUCCGCCGCAUCAUCAACAAACACACGGACGAGAGCCUCGGCGACUGCUCCUUCCUUAACACCUGCUUCCAUAUGGAUACCUGCAAGUACGUCCACUACGAGAUCGACAGUCCUCCGGAAGCUGAGGGGGGCCUGGCGGGACCACAGGCAGGGACUGUGGAGCUCGGCCUGCACAGCGGAGAUGCUGACAACAAUGUCGGCAAACUCUUCCCCUCUCAGUGGAUCUGCUGUGACAUCCGCUACUUGGAUGUGUCCAUCCUGGGUAAGUUUGCCGUGGUGAUGGCCGACCCGCCCUGGGACAUCCACAUGGAGCUUCCCUAUGGAACGCUGACUGAUGACGAGAUGAGGAAACUCAACAUUCCCAUUCUACAGGAUGACGGCUUCCUCUUCCUCUGGGUCACCGGCAGGGCUAUGGAGUUGGGACGGGAGUGUCUUAGUCUGUGGGGGUAUGAGCGUGUUGAUGAAAUCAUCUGGGUGAAAACCAACCAGCUUCAGAGGAUCAUCCGUACUGGGAGAACAGGCCAUUGGUUGAACCACGGGAAGGAGCACUGUCUGGUUGGUGUCAAAGGAAACCCCCAGGGGUUCAACAGAGGUCUGGAUUGUGAUGUCAUUGUUGCAGAGGUGCGUUCUACAAGUCACAAACCAGAUGAGAUCUACGGCAUGAUAGAGAGACUAUCACCAGGAACCAGGAAGAUAGAGUUGUUUGGCCGGCCACACAACGUCCAGCCCAACUGGAUCACUCUCGGUAACCAGCUCGAUGGCAUUCAUCUCCUGGAUCCAGAUGUGGUGGCCCGCUUCAAGGACCGUUACCCAGACGGCGUCAUCUCCAAACCCAAAAACAUGCAGACACCACAUAAUUGAUCAGUUUUUUUUUAAUAAUACUGUACAGUAGGGGUGGGCCAGUGUUGGGCGGGAGUCUCACUUUUUAACAUUUGUCCAAGUUCCACAUUUCUAAACUAAUGAAUUUAUUAAGUCAUAUUUUAGUUUUUGUUUUGAGAAAGAGCUGGACUCACAACUGCAAGCUGCUUUUUUAUUUUUAUUUUUAAACAAACUAAGGCUGUGUCUUAAAUGGAAUACUGAUGUCAGUACACUAUUCUGUGUACACAAGAUUCCAAGUCCAAGUCUUGUUAAAUCACAAGAAACCUACUAGUCCGGUCACUUUAUCUGCUGUAAAUUAGUCAAACAAUAAACAUUUGUUUUUUUCAUCACAAGGGUCACACUUAUUUUCAUUCAAAUUAAGUUAAAAAAAUCUAUUUAAUGCAAGCAUAGAAAGAGGUUGAAAAUGAGGUGACAAACAUGAUUAGCAUCAGCUGAAAUGUAUAGAAAUCUCUAUUUGCAUCAAAAUAUAUUGUAACAAGCUUUUUCUAUUUAGAAAUAGAAGGCUUUUGUUGUUCUCGCAGAUCAUGUGACCCAAACAUCCACUUACAUUGUCCACAAAGUGUAAUGAAAUGAAAAAUAAUGCACUUGGUAGUCAACUGUAAACUCAUCUCCAUGUCUUUUGUCUCUUGAGAAAAAGGUCCAUUUUGGGGGUGGUGCUAACAUUCUUCACAUGGACGUCCUGCGGAGUGUUCCAAAUAUUUGGGAGUCCAUCAUUGCUCCUCAGUAGGUGGCGUCCACCGCAUUGACGUUGCUGUCCAGCUGGUGUCGAAAAGACAGUCUGGCUUUGGAGGAGAAGUACACUUGGGAGCCCCGACUGAGGCUGCCCCCUCCUUCGCUGUCGCUGCCCCAGGAUGUGGUGGAGGCCAGGCGGGGCUUCAUCUCCUCUUCAGGUGCUGGAGGCAAGGAAAGUACAAUUUAGCCAUUUAAUACAUUUUACUGGUUUUGUUUACUUGUCACUUGAUUUAAAAAAAAAAAGCAAACAUUUUUCAUAUAUAUUUAUUUUAUUUUAUUUUAUUGCAGUUGCACCUCACCUGACGUCGGGGGGCACUGUUUGCUCUUGCAUCUCUCCUUACAUUGUCUGUAGAAGGGGAAACACUGCAACAUGCUGACACCCAUGAUAAAAAGCUCUGUAGAGAAAGGAUAGAAAAAUGUUAUGAUGCGUGUAACUUUGCUCUCUUAUAAGCUAUAUGUACUUUUUACUGCAUUAUAUAUUACUGCAAGCUUUUUGAGUGUAUCUGGGUACCAUGGGCAUGGAUGGCCCUUGGUCCUGAGGCCCUAAGCAGAAGUUUGUUUGCAGAGUUGUUGCGCCUGCCUUUACAAAAUGAUCACAACCAGGUAUUGACAAGUAGGUGAAUUCUUCCAUUGCAUUCUCUCAUUCUUCUGUAUGCUGUCAAUCAUUGUGGAAAAAACCAGUGCAGUGUCAGAUUAUGUGUGUGAUCUGGCUCCCUUGGUAACUGUUUUUUUUUUUAUUCAUUCAUUUUCUACUGCUUUUUCCUCAUGAGGGUCGCGCGGGGGUGCUGGAGCCUAUCCCAGCUGACUUAGGGCGAGAGGCGGGGUACACCCUGGACUGGUCGCGAGCCAAUCACGGUUGUUUUUUUUUUACUUGCAGCAAUUCUUUCAUGCAUUUUUGGUGUUGCAGCUUUUUUCUUUCUUUGUUUUUGAUUUUGCAGAGUUGAUAUUAUUGAGUAUUUUCCUUUUGCAUGUGUUUUAGGGUUUUUUUGUGUUUUUUUUUUUUUGGUAUUGGAUCAUUUCUCUGUUUGGAAGUUGCAUUGGCUCCUGUCUGCCACUGCACUUUAGACACUGUCCCCAGUAAGUUGUACAGAACCUGAAAGCGCACCCAAGUCGAUUAAAGCUGGCACAUGAUGGAAAAUAUAUGUAAAGAUGUACUGUAUGUGAUGAAGAGUAAGAGUAUGUGUUGGAAAGAUGUCUUCAUUUUUUGAUUAUUUUUUCUUAAAAGCACGACAUGAAUAGGAGAACGAGGUCAAGUGCAUCUCUGCUGACUCGUCGCACAGGUCAGGGCGAUCAGAUGACUCAAGCUUGGCUCUUCACCAGCUGAAUGUUAUAUGGAAUUAACACCUCACAGCCAAUCAUCAUCAUCAUCAUCAUCAUCAUCAUCAUGGGGUCUGACAGAGGCCCCCAAAACGAGGCAAGCAGGAUUGGAUGAAAAACAACAAAAAAAAAGCAGUCCCCGCAGAUGCAGCCUAGGCAGCCAUUGACCACCUGGAUGCCGCACAGCACCAGCUGCAGCACGCCCACGGACAGCAGGAUGGAGAAGAGGACCACGUGCCACAUCACCGCAUUCUUGGGGUACUGGCAUAUGUUCCAUAUGGUCUGGUUCACCAGGUAGCUCUCACUGCCACUAUGAGGGUUAGAAAAUGCUUAGCAAUUUAUAAAUGGGAAAGGUAUAGAAAUUCAUACACACACAAAAAAUCCCACUAUAAUGUAUUUGAAGGUUUGAAAUUACAUGCAUGUCAUGUUUUCUCCAACUUUUAUAGUGUUAUUAACGCGUUAACGUUGACAGCCCACGUAUAAGAACCUCAGCUGCAAAAGUUGUCUCAAGCCUGACACCUCGUGGAUUGUAGUGACUACUACAGCACAUCCAUUUGCUCCACGCAUAGUUUGCUCCAAGAGUGCAACUGCAAUAUGAUAAAUUAUUAGUAGCUAAAACAACAUUUGAUUAGAUAACUAAUUACAACCUCAUCUGAUUAGAUGUAUAAUAUGUAUUUUAUGUAAGAUAAGAUAUAUUUUAAUAUCGGUGUUUCUCAACUGAGUGAGUCAGGACCCAAAAGUAUGUCGUGGUUAAGAAAUCAAAAAUGACAUUAAAAUGUUUAAUUCAAUUCUCUGAUAGCAUAGUCUAUUUUUUUUUUACUUUGAAAUACAAAUACUUGGAAAAGAUUUAGAUUAGCUGGGUAAAUAUCAGUAUUUUUAAAGUAUUAUUUUAUCCUCCCU
Non-coding RNA from Doryrhamphus excisus (bluestripe pipefish), 5843 nucleotides. The record is from RefSeq and is a predicted model, not a curated record. Lineage: Eukaryota; Metazoa; Chordata; Actinopteri; Syngnathiformes; Syngnathidae.